RNAcentral lists this ribosomal RNA (468 nucleotides) under uncultured bacterium. RNAcentral's name for it is "partial 16S ribosomal RNA". It matches the Rfam family "Bacterial small subunit ribosomal RNA", at positions 28 to 507 of the family's 1533-position model. The record is from RNAcentral.
GACGAACGCUGGCGGCGUGCUUAACACAUGCAAGUCGAACGGAAAGGCCCUGCUUUUGUGGGGUGCUCGAGUGGCGAACGGGUGAGUAACACGUGAGUAACCUGCCCUUGACUUUGGGAUAACUUCAGGAAACUGGGGCUAAUACCGGAUAGGAGCUCCUGCUGCAUGGUGGGGGUUGGAAAGUUUCGGCGGUUGGGGAUGGACUCGCGGCUUAUCAGCUUGUUGGUGGGGUAGUGGCUUACCAAGGCUUUGACGGGUAGCCGGCCUGAGAGGGUGACCGGCCACAUGGGGACUGAGAUACGGCCCAGACUCCAACGGGAGGCAGCAGUGGGGAGUAUUGCACAAUGGGCGGAAGCCUGAUGCAGCAACGCCGCGUGCGGGAUGACGGCCUUCGGGUUGUAAACCGCUUUCGCCUGUGACGAAGCGUGAGUGACGGUAAUGGGUAAAGAAGCACCGGCUAACUACGUG